CAGCCGCCACGGUAAUACGGAGGGUGCGAGCGUUAAUCAGAAUAACUGGGCGUAAAGGGCACGCAGGCGGUGACUUAAGUGAGGUGUGAAAGCCCCGGGCUUAACCUGGGAAUUGCAUUUCAUACUGGGUCGCUAGAGUACUUUAGGGAGGGGUAGAAUUCCACGUGUAGCGGUGAAAUGCGUAGAGAUGUGGAGGAAUACCGAAGGCGAAGGCAGCCCCUUGGGAAUGUACUGACGCUCAUGUGCGAAAGCGUGGGGAGCAAACAGGAUUAGAUACCCCUGUAGUCCCUGUCUCUUAUAA
Molecule: ribosomal RNA, 301 nt
Filed under: uncultured bacterium
Lineage: Bacteria
Description: partial 16S ribosomal RNA
Rfam family: Bacterial small subunit ribosomal RNA
Source: RNAcentral